Molecule: long non-coding RNA, 2641 nt
Filed under: Solanum tuberosum (potato)
Lineage: Eukaryota; Viridiplantae; Streptophyta; Magnoliopsida; Solanales; Solanaceae
Description: long non-coding RNA (STUB_LNC000038)
Source: RNAcentral
GGCUAGCGAUCCCGGGCAGGACGCCGAAACAGCAGCUCCAGCGAAGCCUCAAAAGCAGCAGCUCCGGCGAAGCAGUGGCGACGGCAAGCAACACCACAAAUAGAGUUUGCUCGGGCGAAGCUAUGGAGUUUUGGGUCCAUUGGAAAUGGAUUUUUUCAGAUCCGUCCGGGUACAUUUUAUUAGACUAUUAUCUUAUCUUUCAACAAUUUUGUUCCACUUUUCAUUUGCAAUUGGACCAUCAUUUUCCGACAUCAAAGUUUUGGGCAUGUCUACUUUAUGUGAAAGAUCAUUGUGAACCUUUUCUCAAAAUGAAUAUGUGUUCCUGCUAUUUGCUUUGAUUACAUUGGUUAAUUAUGACGUGUAAUUCAUAGAUUCUUAUUCAUUUCACUCGUAUAGGCGACUCUAUCUCGUUAACGUGGUAUGAGCUUAAUCACAGUCUGAAUUGUCUUGUUGGUUAUAGUGUUUGAUUUUGGGAAUUUAUUAUGGUAAGCAUCAUUUUACGAAUAGUUCGAUUUGGAUACAUAAUAGCCGUAGUGUUUCAUUUCUUAUGAUAAAAUUAGCAUAAAUUUUAGUUUUUCUUUCCUUAAUUAAUUUUAGACGGAUUGUGUCACUGAUUUUCGACCUUUACUGUAUUGUUUAUUGGCUAAAUUUGGAAUCUUGCCUAAUUAAUCCUUUAAAUUAAUUCUUUGGCCAUAGAUAACUCGUACCAGAUCUUUUACCCAUCACUGUGACUGGUUUGUAAUAUUUGAAAUUAUUUGUUAUGGUAAAUAUCUUGUUUUUUCAAAAAUAUUAAGUGAAAAUUGCAUAAUCAUUGAUUUCUUGUGAUUUUUAAUAUAUAUUUGUCAUCUCUAAUUGAUCCUUUUACCUUGAUUGAUUUUAAAUAUAUUCUUACAUGUUCUCUCUUUAACCAACAUUUCCCUUUCUUUUGAGAAAUUUAAGAUUGUCAUAAAUAGGAGAAAGAAAGAUCCAAAUACUAAAAUAAAGAAACAACAUUAUUUAUUCCUGUAAUUUUUAGCACCAAACUAUGCAGAUAAUGACUUGUUGAUUUGAGGAAAUGAUUUUGUGUUGUAAGAAGUACGUUACAUGCCUAAUCUCAAACUGUUUUAGGGGAUGGAGUAUUUAAAUGUCAUUAUAAUAAGCCAACACUAAUAGUUGUUGCUUAUGACUUGAGUUAUCUAAAGACGACUGAGGUACUCGUGGCUUCGCUCCUCAAUACUUUUUGUGAAAAUAAUUAAAAUUUGUUUGUCCCAGGUUGGACUAAAAUCUCUUGAAUUAAGCCAACUAGGAACUUCUGGAUAUUCCCCUACUACAGGAAAGCUACAAAAACCUGUAAAUAUAUGGUGCAUGUUGGUUUAUAGAAUAGCUUCUAAUAGGGAACAUUUGGUUUAUUUUAAUUGCCGAUUGUUUAAUAUCAUUUGGAGAUAUGCCUUUGUUACUCGUCUAGAUUUUGAUUUAUUUUUGUGUCCCGGUCGGCCAUAUCAUUUUGAUUUCAUUUUAUAAAUAAAAGAGCAUGAAAAUGUUGUAUAUAGGUUUUAUUCCUUCACAACAAAAGGGUGCCAAAAUGGAAAUAUUAAUUCGUCUGGUUUUUUCUUCUUCUUGAUUACUGUUAGUUUCCACAUUAAAAGGGUGUCCUAUGUUUGUAUAAGUUAUGUUCUGAUUUGUUCUAUUUUGAUUUGUUCUGUUCUUUACUAAGUUUUUAUCUUAUUUUCAGAUGUACGAAAUGUUUUUCAAAUGCUCUGUCUUGUUGGUUAUCUUAAGCUAUUUGGUCCUACUAUGCCUAAUUUCUAGAGAACUUUUGAGCUUGUGUGACAUUGGAAAUUCAGCCACGUGUUACCUAUAUCUGUUAAGUUUGAUGUUGGUAUUAUUGUUUGUAAUUAGCUUUGUAAGUUGAAUUUCUAUUUGAAUCCGGAACCUCACCUAAGUUAUGAUAAUCUUUCAACAAGGAAAAUACUUUAUACUGUCGUUUAUUCUCAUGUUGUUCAAAGCUAAUUGUUUCUAGACUCUUAUUGCUCAACUUCUUUUUUUCAUAACAUGAGGAAAUUCUCAAGUAUCACAUGAGCUUGUAUCUUCUGAGUUGCUGCACGCUUGAGUUGCCGAUGGACAGUUGCUAUGUAUUGCUUGCAACUAUUGUAUAUUACUGCAAAUAGUUAUUGCAUCUGAGGCUAAUCUCUGCUAUAUUUUGAGAAUAUUUGUUGCUGCAAUAUGCGGCUGAUUUCUGCUAUGUUUUGGGACUAUUUUCUGCCACGAUUUGAGGCCAUUUUGUUGCCGAAUUUUGGGACAUUUGUCACUGCAGUUUUGGCCAUUUACAGCUGCAUUUUUGCCAUGAUCUGCUAUUGGAACCACUUCCUUCCUGCUGCAUUUUGAGGUUGUUUCUUGCUUCAUUUUGAGAAAAACUACUGCAUCUUUGGACAAUUAGUUCCUGCAAUUCAAGCAGAUUUGAGGCUAAGUGCCUGAUUGUAUUUUUUUUGACAAAACAGAUGCUACAUUUUGUAUGAUGUUACACUUAUUUGAAUGAUACUACAAAGGCUGUUGAAAUAAAGUUGAGGGAAAACCCCUUCAAAAUAGUUAUCUUUGGUUUGGUUCUUUCAGAUGCUUGUGAUUAGUGACAAUAUUUUAUCUUUAAAAGCUUAACUUUUAGUGA